UAAGUCAAACGUAUCAUUGACUGUUGACUGGGGUAGAACUUAAAGGGUUUUCCAUCAUUACUGCAGCCACCGAGAAAGAAAACUGCCUUUCUCUGUCUUCAAAGACUUUGAAAACCUUGUAGGGAGUGGGAGCCAUGAAUCACAACUUCUCCACAGAUGGAAGCAGAGAGAUGAUGUCUACUAAGAAUAAAAUUUCCUUUUGAUUGUUAAAGGCAAUAUCCGGAAACUCAAAAACAUCUUUUCUUAUAUUGUCUAAUUUAAUGCACUGGAAGAAAGGUCCAGAGAGAGGUGGUUUCAGUGUUGUGAGGUAGCCAUCAGAGAAGACCCCCUUGGACACUAGUUCAAGCCAAUAGGAAGCCUACCUUAGCCAGCCG
Molecule: long non-coding RNA, 374 nt
Organism: Mastomys coucha (southern multimammate mouse)
Lineage: Eukaryota; Metazoa; Chordata; Mammalia; Rodentia; Muridae
Exons: 3
Source: RefSeq, a predicted model, not a curated record